RNAcentral lists this ribosomal RNA (584 nucleotides) under uncultured eukaryote. Its description in RNAcentral is "SSU rRNA". It matches the Rfam family "Eukaryotic small subunit ribosomal RNA", at positions 414 to 1004 of the family's 1831-position model. The record is from RNAcentral.
AUCUAAGGAAGGCAGCAGGCGCGAAAAUUACCCAAUACUAAUACAGUGAGGUAGUAACAGUAAAUAACACAGCCCAGCAUUUCAUGUUGGGCUUUUGGAAUGAGAACAAUUUAAAUCCAUUAUCGAGGAUCAAUUGGAGGGCAAGUCUGGUGCCAGCAGCCGCGGUAAUUCCAGCUCCAAUAGCGUAUAUUAAAGUUGCUGCAGUUAAAAAGCUCGUAGUUGGAUUUCUAGCGAGGCACGAGAAUAUCCACCUAUGGUGAAUACUUCUCUCGCCUUGCUCUUCUUUAGUUGAUGUCUCUGGCAUUAAGUUGUCGGAGUCCUGAGACUAAUCGUUUACUGUGAGAAAAUUAGAGUGUUCAAAGCAGGCUUAUGCCGUUGAAUAUAUUAGCAUGGAAUAAUAAGAUAGGACUUCGGUACUAUUUUGUUGGUUUGCGUACUGAUGUAAUGAUAAAUAGGGACUGGCGUGGGUAUUCGUAUUUUAAUGUCAGAGGUGAAAUUCUUAGAUUAUUGAAAGACGGACGACUGCGAAAGCAUCUACCAAGUAUGUUUUUAUUAAUCAAGAACGAAAGUAUGGGGAUCGAAGA